This 435-nucleotide ribosomal RNA is filed under the name uncultured Lachnospiraceae bacterium. RNAcentral's name for it is "partial 16S ribosomal RNA". It matches the Rfam family "Bacterial small subunit ribosomal RNA", at positions 341 to 792 of the family's 1533-position model. Lineage: Bacteria; Bacillati; Bacillota; Clostridia; Lachnospirales; Lachnospiraceae. The record is from RNAcentral.
ACGGGAGGCAGCAGUGGGGGAUAUUGCACAAUGGGGGGAAACCCUGAUGCAGCGACGCCGCGUGAGUGAUGAAGUAUUUCGGUAUGUAAGGCUCUAUCAGCAGGAAAGAUAAUGACGGUACCUGACUAAGAAGCACCGGCUAAAUACGUGCCAGCAGCCGCGGUAAUACGUAUGGUGCAAGCGUUAUCCGGAUUUACUGGGUGUAAAGGGAGCGCAGACGGCAUGGCAAGCCAGAUGUGAAAGGCAGGGGCUCAACUCCUGGACUGCAUUUGGAACUGUCAAGCUAGAGUAUCGGAGAGGUAAGUGGAAUUCCUAGUGUAACGGUGAAAUGCGUAGAUAUUAGGAGGAACACCAGUGGCGAAGGCGGCUUACUGGACGAUAACUGACGUUGAGGCUCGAAAGCGUGGGGAGCAAACAGGAUUAGAUACCCUGGUA